GUGCAGCCAAGUAAGCUGACCAUGCUGUUUAUCUCAUAGGACCCAGUUUGCAGUAACUACACACAGCAAACAGCCUCUCAAUAGUGUAUACAGACUGUGCCUGAAUGGGCUGUAAUGAAGGUCCUUGGAGAAAGUC
This is a small nucleolar RNA of Suncus etruscus (white-toothed pygmy shrew), 136 nucleotides long. RefSeq annotates it as small nucleolar RNA SNORA70. The transcript has a single exon. Lineage: Eukaryota; Metazoa; Chordata; Mammalia; Eulipotyphla; Soricidae. The record is from RefSeq and is a predicted model, not a curated record.